AGAGUUUGAUCAUGGCUCAGGACGAACGCUGGCGGCGUGCUUAACACAUGCAAGUCGAACGAUGAAGCCAGCUUGCUGGUGGAUUAGUGGCGGACGGGUGAGUAACACGUGGGUGAUCUGCCCUGUACUUUGGGAUAAGCCUGGGAAACUGGGUCUAAUACCGAAUAUUACCUUCUCCUGCAUGGGGGUUGGUGGAAAGCUCCGGCGGUAUGGGAUGGGCCCGCGGCCUAUCAGCUUGUUGGUGGGGUAAUGGCCUACCAAGGCGACGACGGGUAGCCGGCCUGAGAGGGCGACCGGCCACACUGGGACUGAGACACGGCCCAGACUCCUACGGGAGGCAGCAGUGGGGAAUAUUGCACAAUGGGCGCAAGCCUGAUGCAGCGACGCCGCGUGAGGGAUGACGGCCUUCGGGUUGUAAACCUCUUUCACCAGGGACGAAGCGAAAGUGACGGUACCUGGAGAAGAAGCACCGGCCAACUACGUGCCAGCAGCCGCGGUAAUACGUAGGGUGCGAGCGUUGUCCGGAAUUACUGGGCGNNAAAGAGCUCGUAGGCGGUUUGUCGCGUCGUUCGUGAAAACUUGGGGGCUUAACUCCAAGCGUGCGGGCGAUACGGGCAGACUUGAGUACUACAGGGGAGACUGGAAUUCCUGGUGUAGCGGUGAAAUGCGCGAUAUCAGGAGGAACACCGGUGGCGAAGGCGGGUCUCUGGGUAGUAACUGACGCUGAGGAGCGAAAGCGUGGGUAGCGAACAGGAUUAGAUACCCUAGUAGUCC
This 774-nucleotide ribosomal RNA is filed under the name uncultured bacterium. Its description in RNAcentral is "bacterial SSU rRNA". It matches the Rfam family "Bacterial small subunit ribosomal RNA", at positions 8 to 796 of the family's 1533-position model. The record is from RNAcentral.